RNAcentral lists this ribosomal RNA (434 nucleotides) under uncultured Clostridium sp. RNAcentral describes it as "partial 16S ribosomal RNA". It matches the Rfam family "Bacterial small subunit ribosomal RNA", at positions 341 to 792 of the family's 1533-position model. The record is from RNAcentral. Lineage: Bacteria; Bacillati; Bacillota; Clostridia; Eubacteriales; Clostridiaceae.
ACGGAAGGCAGCAGUGGGGGAUAUUGCACAAUGGGGGAAACCCUGAUGCAGCGACGCCGCGUGAGUGAAGAAGUGUUUCGGUAUGUAAAGCUCUAUCAGCAGGGAAGAUAAUGACAGUACCUGAAUAAGAAGCCCCGGCUAACUACGUGCCAGCAGCCGCGGUAAUACGUAGGGGGCAAGCGUUAUCCGGAUUUACUGGGUGUAAAGGGAGCGUAGACGGUUUGGCAAGUCUGAAGUGAAAUGCGGGGGCUCAACUCCUGAACUGCUUUGGAAACUGUCGAACUAGAGUGCAGGAGAGGUAAGUGGAAUUCCUAGUGUAGCGGUGAAAUGCGUAGAUAUUAGGAGGAACACCAGUGGCGAAGGCGGCUUACUGGACUGUAACUGACGUUGAGGCUCGAAAGCGUGGGGAGCAAACAGGAUUAGAUACCCUGGUA